This 433-nucleotide ribosomal RNA is filed under the name uncultured bacterium. Its description in RNAcentral is "partial 16S ribosomal RNA". It matches the Rfam family "Bacterial small subunit ribosomal RNA", at positions 29 to 507 of the family's 1533-position model. The record is from RNAcentral.
AACGAACGCUGGCGGCAUGCCUAACACAUGCAAGUCGAACGAGACCUUCGGGUCUAGUUGCGCACGGGUGCGUAACGCGUGGGAACCUGCCCUUAGGUUCGGAAUAACUCCCCGAAAGGGGUGCUAAUACCGGUUAAUGUCUUCGGACCAAAGAUUUAUCGCCUUUGGAUGGGCCCGCGUUGGAUUAGCGAGUUGGUAGGGUAAAAGCCUACCAAGGCGACGAUCCAUAGCUGGUCGGAGAGGAUGAUCAGCCACACUGGGACUGAGACACGGCCCAGAAUCGUACGGAAGGGAGCAGUGGGGAAUAUUGGACGAUGGGCGAAAGCCUGAUACAGCAAUGCCGCGUGAGUGAUGAAGGCCUUAGGGUUGUAAAGCUCUUUUACACGGGAUGAUAAUGACAGUACCGGGAGAAUAAGCACCGGCUAACUCCGUG